CAGAUAUAAUAAUAAUAGUCUUGAUUUCAUCAUGCAAUUUCUGUCUGUAACAAAUCAGAGCAAAGAGAACUGUUUGUGCAGUUGGACAGAAAACAAGUGAUAACUUCAGCUGCCACUCUACACUCUUCUCCAACACUGCAAAUAAACUUUCCAAGGACAAAUCUGAACCCAUAAGUUUCUUUCUCAUAAGAUGGUUAGCAGGAGUGGUUAAUCAGCUGUUCAAGAUAGAUGGAGAAGUGUCAGAGAGACUAAAGAAACAGACAUAUUUUGGCAUCCAUGGCAAUAAAAAUGUACUUUUCUAGACACCAGAGAAGACUGAAAUAUUUACUGUAACUCAGAAAGCAAGUACCAAAUGGUUAAGUGAGACCAGAUGUUUUUGAAUAUGUCUGUGAAGAAUCAGCAUUUGCCUGUGAAUUUUGCAUGCACAACAACCUAUUUCACAAAGCCAUCUCAGCUGAAUUUCCUACAAAAUUAGCCUGUAAAACAGAUGAACUCAUAUAUCUUCUCAGGUGUGAUGUCUUCUUUGGCAGGAGGAGCAGGCUCUUCUCAACAGCAAGGCUGCUACAUUUCAAGAUUAGGCUUCUUCACCACAUAUGUCCUGCAGUAAAUUCUGGGAUCCAAGAGAAGACAGAAAAUGGUAGAAUCAAGAGGUGUUUCUUUUUAAUAUUCCACUGGAGGAAGAAACAUUGAGUGGUUCCCUUGGGAGACCAUCUCCCAGACCUACUGAUCUAUGAGGUCUAUAUCACUGAGGGCUUGAUUAAUUGCAUUUUGUAGGAUCUUUAUUUCCUUCCCAGCUCCUCCAGAAGCAGAGCUAUAUUUGGAUACAUUCCCAUUGCAGGCCCCAGUGACAUCUGUAUCAAUUAGUAGUUCUUUUUCAAGUAUUAACUCUGGCAUGAACUUUGAAAUUUUAGAAAUCUGUUGUGCCUACAGGGAAAUCAAAGACCAACCUUCUCCAACAUAAUGUCUGUUCAUCUCCUCCAUCAAAAUCCUAUUGAUUCUUGACUGCCUUUAUACAGGAAGGGGAGUAUCUGGGAGGUGACAGCAAUAUUAUGAAUAUUGUCAAGAAAAAUCUUUAUACUUUCAUUUCUCUUUUCUCCUUCCUCGAGUUGGUUAAUGGUAAGGAGUGGAUUUUGCAAGGUUUGUUCCAGGAUUUAUGGCUGAAAGGAAUUCUCCCAGAAAUGUCACUCACAGUUGUUAAUGCUUGCAUUCUCCCUUGUAUGAAAAGGUAUAAAAUUAAUAUAGGUUUUAGCCAUAUCCAAAAUGUGUUCAUCCAAUAUUUAAGUUUUCAAAGUGAUUAUAAUGUUGGAUGGGGUUGUUCUUUGGCUUUUGGCUCCAGAAACAUGAAAUACUGCCAUAUAGUUUGAGAAAGAAAAUCAGAUGUUCUUAUAUAUAUACCUCAGGCCAAUGUCUGUCUUUGAAUAAUAUAUCAAGGCUUUCAGAAUAAAAUCUCUUAAUAAUUUAAUCAUCAGCUCAGAAUCUUUUAUUGUGGAUAUCUGCCAAAAAAAGAUAAGAGCAAGAUGGAAGUUCAGAUACACCUUUCGACACACUGAUAUUAAAGCCACCUAAAUGGAUGUAAAGCGCAGAUUCCUAUUGCAGUUCUGGUCUGGUGGCAUUUUAACACACAGGAGUCUGCUUAUCAGAAAGAAAAACAAACAAACAAACAAACAAAUAAACAAAA
This is a long non-coding RNA of Oxyura jamaicensis (ruddy duck), 1678 nucleotides long. RefSeq lists it as uncharacterized. NCBI's taxonomy places the organism in Eukaryota, Metazoa, Chordata, Aves, Anseriformes, Anatidae. The transcript is spliced from 5 exons. The record is from RefSeq and is a predicted model, not a curated record.